AAAUUUUGAGUCAUAACAGUCGUAUCAUAUUGUGCCUAAAAACUGGGCGACUAUGAUAUUUUGGUGUCUAAUUUGGGUACGUGGCUUCCAAUUUUCCACGCAUUGGGCACCCCUAAGUUAAAGGACUUUUAUAUGCCUUAUUUUUUCUUGGAAUAAUAAAUGCUAAUAUGGUUGGGUAGGUUAAAUUAUUGUGAACCACAUUAAAAUCCUCUUCUCCAUCGUCACUUUAAUUUGUAUGAUAAUAUAAAAGUAAUUGAUUGAUUAAAUAUAUUUGAAUUAGUGUGAGAAUGGAAAGCAUCACAUUCACAUGUUCAUUUAAUAUUCCAACUCACCACCCAUUCCCACAUGAUAAUCAAACUCAAACCCCGUAUCGUGUCUUCUCUUCUUCUCGUUUUCCUCUUUCGUCAUUAAUUUGGUGUGCACACCUCCAUUUGUGGCAGCAUUUAUAGUUCUACAUAAUAUGUUCAUUUUGCUAUAUUAUAAUCCCCCUUCUCUCUCCCUAUGUUCCUCCUCCUCCCCACCCUCCAUUCUUACUCUCCCACUCACCCAUCCUGAUUCACCGCCAUGGAAAUUCACCACCACGCCGGAGGAACCCAUUCCCACGCCGCUGCCGACGCCCUGCGGCGGGGAGAAGAGCGAGGGACUUACCUUGUGUGGGAGGAUCUCACCGUCAUGCUUCCUAAUUUCACCGAUGGCCCCACCAAGAGGCUACUCAAUGGCCUCCGUGGCUACGCCGACCCCGGCCGGAUUAUGGCCAUCAUGGGCCCUUCCGGCUCCGGCAAAUCCACCCUUCUUGAUACUCUUGCAGGGAGACUCUCCAAGAAUGUGGUAAUGACUGGACAUGUUUUCCUGAAUGGAAAGAAGAGGAAGCUCGGAAAUGGCGACGUUGCCUAUGUAACCCAAGAAGACAUACUAUUGGGAACUCUAACGGUGAAAGAAACCGUAAGCUACUCUGCCCAGCUGCGGCUUCCGAGUUCUAUGACCAAAGAUGAGCUCAACAACAUCGUGGAGGCAACGAUUUUGGAAAUGGGUCUUCAAGACUGCGCCGAUCGAUUGAUUGGGAAUUGGCAUCUUCGAGGAAUUAGUGGUGGGGAAAAGAAGAGAUUGAGUGUUGCGGUUGAAAUCCUCACACGCCCUCGUUUGCUUUUUCUUGAUGAACCCACCAGCGGCCUUGACAGUGCCUCCGCGUUCUUUGUCAUUCAAACUCUUAGAAAUGUUGCUCGUGAUGGGCGGACUGUUGUUUCUUCAAUUCACCAGCCGAGUAGUGAGGUUUUUGCGCUCUUUGAUGACCUUUUUUUGCUCUCUGGAGGUGAGGCUGUUUACUUUGGGGAAGCCAAAAUGGCUGUACAGUUCUUUGCUGAAGCUAAUUUUCCUUGUCCAAGUAGAAGGAAUCCAUCUGAUCACUUUCUUCGUUGUAUAAAUUCGGAUUUCGAUAUCGUUACAGCCACACUCAAAGGGUCUCUAAGAAUUAGAGAUAUCCCAGAAUCAUCAGACCCUUUCAUGAAUUUGGCAACAGCUCAAAUCAAGUCAUCGCUUGUUGAAAAAUAUAGGAGCUCACAGUAUGCAAGUAGAGUGAAGGCAAGAAUUCGAGAAAUCUCCACCAUUGAGGGACUUGAAGUUGAGGAUGAAAAAGGAGGCGGAGCUAGUUGGUUCAAGCAGCUUUCGACACUGACCCGUCGAUCAUUUGUUAAUAUGUGUAGGGAUGUCGGAUAUUAUUGGCUAAGGAUAAUUAUCUACGUGAUAGUCUCCUUAUGCGUUGGUACCAUCUACUUUGAUGUUGGAACCAGUUACACCGCAAUCUUAGCUCGAGGAGCCUGCGGUGGAUUUAUCACUGGCUUCAUGACAUUUAUGACUAUUGGGGGCUUUCCAUCUUUUACUGAGGAAAUGAAGAUGUUUUACAGAGAAAGGCUGAAUGGAUACUAUGGAGUUACAGUGUUCAUAUUGUCAAACUUCCUCUCUUCUUUACCGUUCUUGGUUUCGAUUUCAAUUGUUUCGGGUACCAUCACCUUCUACAUGGUGAAAUAUCGGCUGGAGUUCUCCCGCUACAUGUUCUUCUGCCUUAAUAUUUUUGGAUGCAUUUCUGUAAUAGAGGGGUUGAUGAUGGUUGUGGCUUCAUUGGUUCCAAACUUCCUGAUGGGAAUUAUAACAGGCGCUGGAAUCAUUGGUAUCAUGAUGAUGACCUCUGGCUUCUUCCGGUUGUUGCCUGAUCUUCCAAAGCCCUUUUGGCGGUAUCCAAUCUCAUAUCUCAGUUAUGGCUCUUGGGCACUACAGGGUGCUUACAAAAACGACUUGAUCGGGCUCGAGUUCGAGCCAAUGAUACCGGGAAUGCCGAAGUUGAGUGGGGAGUAUGUAAUCACCAAUAUGUAUGGGAUUCCAUUAAGCCAUUCCAAGUGGUGGGACUUAACAGGUCUCAUGCUCCUUGUUCUUCUAUACCGAAUUCUGUUCUUUGUUGUCUUGAAAUUCAAAGAAAGAGCUUCACCAUUUCUGCGGACAAUAUUUGCAAAGAAAACUCUGAAACAUCUCCAGAGAAGACCUUCCUUCCGAACAAUGCCUUCUAUUUCCUCUAAGAGGCACCAACCUCUUCACUCACUUUCUUCUCAAGAAGGUCUCAACUCUCCUCUCAACUAGAAGCUGAAGCACCAAAAACGAUGACUUGGAAAGCUUGUACCUAUAACAAUGUAACUUCUAAGAGAGGAAGUACAAAGAGAGAUGGGCAUGUCCCAUUUAGAAGGUGGAAUACUACUUGGUCGUAUAGAACACUUUAGUAGUACCACAAUUACACGCAGUUAGGCAUAUAAUUAAUGCAUGCACACUGAAUACAGCAUACUUGAUAUACUGUAAUGAUAUAUUUAGAAAAAUCACAGUUCUGAUGGAAUGAGAUUGUACUUUUGUAUUCCAAGAGAACUCAACCUACACAUAGCCAAUGAUCAAGAAGAAGUAAAUGAGAUUGUGGAAAUGGGUCUAUGUGGAUUGUUGGAAACUGGCAUUUAAGAGGCAUUA
Molecule: RNA transcript, 3000 nt
Organism: Cucurbita maxima (winter squash)
Lineage: Eukaryota; Viridiplantae; Streptophyta; Magnoliopsida; Cucurbitales; Cucurbitaceae
Gene name: ABC transporter G family member 15-like
Exons: 10
Source: RefSeq, a predicted model, not a curated record